Molecule: ribosomal RNA, 1006 nt
Filed under: Bacteroides xylanisolvens
Lineage: Bacteria; Pseudomonadati; Bacteroidota; Bacteroidia; Bacteroidales; Bacteroidaceae
Description: bacterial SSU rRNA
Rfam family: Bacterial small subunit ribosomal RNA
Source: RNAcentral
GGGAUGCGUUCCAUUAGUUUGUUGGCGGGGUAACGGCCCACCAAGACUACGAUGGAUAGGGGUUCUGAGAGGAAGGUCCCCCACAUUGGAACUGAGACACGGUCCAAACUCCUACGGGAGGCAGCAGUGAGGAAUAUUGGUCAAUGGACGAGAGUCUGAACCAGCCAAGUAGCGUGAAGGAUGACUGCCCUAUGGGUUGUAAACUUCUUUUAUAUGGGAAUAAAGUAUUCCACGUGUGGGAUUUUGUAUGUACCAUAUGAAUAAGGAUCGGCUAACUCCGUGCCAGCAGCCGCGGUAAUACGGAGGAUCCGAGCGUUAUCCGGAUUUAUUGGGUUUAAAGGGAGCGUAGGUGGAUUGUUAAGUCAGUUGUGAAAGUUUGCGGCUCAACCGUAAAAUUGCAGUUGAAACUGGCAGUCUUGAGUACAGUAGAGGUGGGCGGAAUUCGUGGUGUAGCGGUGAAAUGCUUAGAUAUCACGAAGAACUCCGAUUGCGAAGGCAGCUCACUAGACUGCAACUGACACUGAUGCUCGAAAGUGUGGGUAUCAAACAGGAUUAGAUACCCUGGUAGUCCACACAGUAAACGAUGAAUACUCGCUGUUUGCGAUAUACAGUAAGCGGCCAAGCGAAAGCAUUAAGUAUUCCACCUGGGGAGUACGCCGGCAACGGUGAAACUCAAAGGAAUUGACGGGGGCCCGCACAAGCGGAGGAACAUGUGGUUUAAUUCGAUGAUACGCGAGGAACCUUACCCGGGCUUAAAUUGCAUUUGAAUAAUCUGGAAACAGGUUAGCCGCAAGGCAAAUGUGAAGGUGCUGCAUGGUUGUCGUCAGCUCGUGCCGUGAGGUGUCGGCUUAAGUGCCAUAACGAGCGCAACCCUUAUCUUUAGUUACUAACAGGUCAUGCUGAGGACUCUAGAGAGACUGCCGUCGUAAGAUGUGAGGAAGGUGGGGAUGACGUCAAAUCAGCACGGCCCUUACGUCCGGGGCUACACACGUGUUACAAUGGGGGG